Molecule: long non-coding RNA, 3257 nt
Organism: Sapajus apella (tufted capuchin)
Lineage: Eukaryota; Metazoa; Chordata; Mammalia; Primates; Cebidae
Exons: 2
Source: RefSeq, a predicted model, not a curated record
AAAGGUUUAAUAGGAAUUUAUCAAAAGAAGAUGCACAAAUGACAAAUAGGCAUAUGAAAAGGUGCUCAAUAUCACUGAUCCUCAGAGAAAUGCAAAUCAGAGCUACAAUGAGAUAUCAUCUCACUGCAUUUAAAAUGGCUUCCAUCCAAAAGUCAGUCAAUAACAAAUUCUGGCGAGGAUGUCAAGAAAGGGGAACCCUCAUACAAUGUUGGUGGGAAUGUAAAUUAGUACAGCCAUUAUGGAGAACAGUUUGAAGGUUCCUCAAAAAACUCAAAAUAGAGCUACCAUAUGAUCGAGCAAUCCCACUGCUGCAUGUAUACCCAAAAGAAAGGAAAUAAUUGUAUCAAAGAGAUACCUGCACUGCCAUGUUUAUUGCAGCAUUGUUCACACUAGACAAGAUGCGUCUACCCACAGUUGAAUGGAUAAAGAAAAUGUGAUAUAUCUACACAGUGGAGUGCUGUUUGGCCAUAAAAAAGAAUGAGAUCCUAUCAUUUGCAACACGGAUGGAACUGAAAGUCAUUACGUUAAGUGAAAUAAGCCAAGCACAGAAAGACAAACAUCACAUGUUCCCAAUUAUUUGUGGAAUCUGAAAAUCAAAGCAAUUGAACUUAUGGAGAUAGCGAAUGGAAAGAUAGUUACCCGAGGCUGAGAAAGGCAGUAGGAGGUCAGGAGAGGGGAGGUGGGAGUGGUUAAUGCAUACCAAAAAAAAAAAGUUGGAAAGAAUGAGUAAGACCUAGUAUUUGAUAGCACAACAGGGGUGCUAUAGUCAAUAACAAUUUUACUGUGCAUUUUAAAAUAACAAAAAGUAUUAUUGGAUUGCAUCACAAAUUUAACAUUUGUAACAAAAUGAUAAAUUCUUAUUAAGUGAAUAGAUACCCCAUUUUCCAUUACUAUGCAUUGUAUCCCUGUAUCAAAACAUGUCAUAUACCCCAUAAGUAUAUAUACCUACUGUGUACCAAUAAAAAUUUAAAGUAAAAAUACAGUUUAAAAAAAAACAUUGAGGAGAAAGGAUAUCUGCCUGAACAGAUGUUUAAUGCAGCUGAAAGUGCUCUGUUCAGAGGAAAAAACAAUGCCACAGAAGACAUUUGUUAGUAAGGAAGACAAGCAAGCACUAGGAUUUAGGACAGGAAAGGAUAGGCUAACUCUGCUGUUUUGUGCAGAUGCAGUUAGGUUUAUGAAAGGACUGCCCCCAUCUAUAAAGCAGCUAAUGCCCAAACCUUGAAGGGAAAAGAUAAAUAUCAGCUGCCAGUCUUUUGGUUGUACAUCAUGGAGUCCUGAACAACAAGAGCUUCUUCUGUAUUGGUUUCAUUGAUUAUUUGUUCCUGAAGUCAGGAAGUACUUUGCCAGUAAGGGAAUGCCUUCCAAUGUUCUUUUGAUAUUGGACAAUGCCCUUAGCCACCCAGAACCCCAUGAGUUCAACACUGAAAGCAAUAAAGUGGUCUCUUUGCCCUCAAGCACAAUAUCUCCUUGUCAGUUUCUAGAUUCGAGGGUCAUAGGGACCUUUACGUCUCAUUACAGAGGAUGCUAUAUGGAAAAGGUUGUUAAUGCUGUGGAAGAGAACCCCCGACAGAAGGAUUCAGGAUACCGUUGAAGAUACCAUUGUUAUUACAGAAAUAGUCCAUCAAAGUCAUGAAGUCCAAAACAAUAAAUUCCUGCUGGAGAAUAUGUCCAGAUGUUCAAAGGAUUUAGAACAGAGUUGCCGAAAUAAAUCAUGAAAGAGAUUGUGGAUAUGGCAAAAACAAACAAAAAAAACAGUGAGAGGUGAAGGGUUUCAGGUUACAGAUUUUGGAGAAAAUCAAGAGCUCAUGGACACCACACCAGAGGAAUUAACAGAUGAUAACUUGAUAGAGAUGAGUGAUUCCAAACCAGUGCCAGACAAUGAAGAAGAUGUAGAAGAGCAAUGCCAGAAAACAAAUUGACAUCAAACAAUCUUGCAGAAGGGUUCCUACUACUCAAGUCUGCUUUUGACGUCUUUUAUGACAAGGAUUCUCCUAUGAUACUAGCACUGAAACUAAAGCAAAAAGUGGAAGAAGGAUUGGUACUGUUUGGAAGCAUUUUUAGAGAAGUGAAAAAGCAAAAAAGACAAAUUACAGUGUAUUCCAUAAAGUUACACUGAGUGUGCCUGCCUCUCAUGUCUUUCUUUCCACCUCCUCCGCCUCUGACACAACAAGACCAACCCCUUCUCUCCUUCCUUCUCCUCAGCCUACUCAGCUAGAAGAUGAAGAUGAAGACCUUUAUGAUGAGCCACUUGCACUUGAUGAAUAGUAAAUAUCUUUUCUCUUCCUCAUGAUUUUCUUAAUGUUUUCUUUAGCUUACUUUAAGAAUAUAAUAUAUAAUACAUAUAAUAUACAAAAUAUGUGUUAAUCAACUAUGUUACCAAUAAAGCAUCCAUCAGGUCAGAAGUAGACUAUUAGUAGUAAACUUUUUGGCGAGUCAAAAGUUACAUGCAGAUUGUUGACUGCAUGUAGGGUCAAUGCCCCUAACAACCCUGUUGUUCAACGGUCAGUUCUCUUUGCAAAAGGAAACCCUAGAGCCUUAUAACCUUUGUUUUUAUCUUAGUCUGUUCUUACACUGCUAUUAAGAAAUAACUGAGACUGCGUAAUUUAGAAAGUAAUGGAUUCAUGGUUAAUCGGCUCAUGGUUCCGCAGGCUGUACAGGAAGCAUGAUGCUGGCAUCUUCUCAGCUUCUGGGAAGGCUUCAGGAAACUUAACAAUCAUGGUGGAAGGCAAAGCAAGAGCAGGCUUCUUCACGUGCCCAGAGCAGGAGAAAGAGAGUGGGGAGGGGCCACCCAUUUUUAAACAACCAGAUCUCUUGAGAACUUGCUCACUAUACACUGCCAAGGGGGGAUAGUGCUAAAGCAUUUAUGAGAACUCUACCCCUAUGAUCCAAUCACCCCCACCAGGACCCACCUUCAGCAUUGGGGAUUUUAUUUCAACAUGAGAUUUGGAUGGGAACACAGAUCCAAACCACAUCAGUUCUCAUUUAUGUCAGAAUGUUUCUCAGCUCUGUUUUACAAAAGUGAAAGGUUCUUUCCUGGGAAUUCAGAGACCCAUGUUCUGGUGUUCUCUGUACCUUGCUGUGUGACGUUAGGUUAGUUAUUUGACCCCUCUCUGUCUCAUUUUCCUUCUUCUAAGUGGCAGUGGAUUAUGUGAUUCCCCGAUGGCCCUAUGCCUUCUAAAUUGCAGUGACCUAAGAUCAGUUACAUAAGCAGCAAUUUGGGAAUGGCUGGAUUACAGUUACUGAGAAAGAUUAAAAGA